GGCCCGUUCUUCUAGCGGUUCAGGAAGCCGGCCCCUCAAGCCGGUAACGCGGGUUCAAAUCCCGCACGGGUCA
RNAcentral lists this transfer RNA (73 nucleotides) under Planctomyces sp. RNAcentral's name for it is "tRNA-Glu". It matches the Rfam family "tRNA". Rfam says of the family: Transfer RNA (tRNA) molecules are approximately 80 nucleotides in length. Lineage: Bacteria; Pseudomonadati; Planctomycetota; Planctomycetia; Planctomycetales; Planctomycetaceae. The record is from RNAcentral.